Molecule: ribosomal RNA, 492 nt
Filed under: uncultured bacterium
Lineage: Bacteria
Description: partial 16S ribosomal RNA
Rfam family: Bacterial small subunit ribosomal RNA
Source: RNAcentral
CUUUCCCUCUUUCUUUAGGCCUAACACAUGCAAGUCGAACGGCAGCACAGUAAGAGCUUGCUCUUACGGGUGGCGAGUGGCGGACGGGUGAGGAAUACAUCGGAAUCUACUUUUUCGUGGGGGAUAACGUAGGGAAACUUACGCUAAUACCGCAUACGACCUACGGGUGAAAGCAGGGGAUCUUCGGGCCUUGCGCGAUUGAAUGAGCCGAUGUCGGAUUAGCUAGUUGGCGGGGUAAAGGCCCACCAAGGCGACGAUCCGUAGCUGGUCUGAGAGGAUGAUCAGCCACACUGGAACUGAGACACGGUCCAGACUCCUACGGGAGGCAGCAGUGGGGAAUAUUGGACAAUGGGCGCAAGCCUGAUCCAGCCAUACCGCGUGGGUGAAGAAGGCCUUCGGGUUGUAAAGCCCUUUUGUUGGGAAAGAAAAGCAGCAGGUUAAUACCCCGCUGUUCUGACGGUACCCAAAGAAUAAGCACCGGCUAACUUCGUG